GUUGCUAGUAAUCGCGGAUCAGAAUGCCGCGGUGAAUGCGUUCCCGGGUCUUGUACACACCGCCCGUCACACCAUGGAAGUUGGGGGCGCCCGAAGUUGCCUAAGAAAUAAGGUACCUAAGGCGAAACCAAUGACUGGGGUGAAGUCGUAACAAGGUAAC
Molecule: ribosomal RNA, 160 nt
Filed under: uncultured bacterium
Lineage: Bacteria
Description: partial 16S ribosomal RNA
Rfam family: Bacterial small subunit ribosomal RNA
Source: RNAcentral